AGUGCCUGCUGCCCUAGAAACUCCUAGGGAGAGGUUUGGGAGGUCCUUCUUUCCAGCACUGACCAGCCUUGGCAAUACUUCUCAAGUGACCCUUCUUACAUGUGUUACCUGAUGCAUAAAUAGGAGUUCCUGGUUCCUGUGUGAAUUGAUGUGCACAUAUAGUUGUGGACUUCAUUACUAGUGAGCAUUCCAGUGGCUUCACACCCUGUGUAUUCAUGGAUGGCUAAAGGUAUCCCCUAGACUAUUAGCAAGAAUCAUGCACAUUUCAGAGGGAGCACUCAGCAUUGGAACAUGGAAACUUUGAAGAGCUCCAACAACUUUGGUCCUCCCACUGAUCCAGGAAACUGAGGUGUUUGGCAAACUCAAAAUGAAUAUAUCAAGAGUAUAUUGGAUAUAUGAGUCUGAAACGAGAACAUGGGCUGCUGAAAUGCACAGCAAGUUAAAACCUGGGAGAAAAGUGUGACAGAGGACUAUUCCUGGCCUGAAGAGAAGUUGCAGGUUUACACCAAUGCAACGUUAAACUUUUUUCAUUUUUAAUUUAUGUGGAAAAUCUGAAGUCAUAAAAUGCUGUGUGACUACAGGAUGUCAGGAUAAAACAGCAGGAGGACCUCAGACCAUAUUUUCAUCCCUUUCUUGAGGCUUGUAUGGAAAGGGCAGUCCUAGCUGAGAUGUAUGGCUGGAGGGAGCUGCUGGAGAGCAAGAACUGGAGAAGGAUCCUCACAACAGAACCUCUGAGUGACCUCACCUUGUCUACCCCAAACAUGGAGAGAAGGCAGCACACAGAGUCACAGCACCACCAGCUUUGGAGGUGAGUGACCUACAGCCACAGCAGCUCCCCCAGAACUCAAAACCACUGCUGAACUCCUGUCUGGUCCUGCAGCUGUCACAAGGCUUUACAAGUCCAUGUUUUAUUGUAGCAAUGAAACGCAUCCAUAAAACACAGACCUGAAUCCUCCCCUGUCACCUGAGUACUUAUUGCUACCUUCUCAAUUAAUCCAGAUUCUGGGUUCUAGGGACCAUUUGUAAAAACAGCAAAAAACUCUGACAGGGCUUCCAUUUUAACCAGGGAAUCUUAAUCUCAGAAAGCUGUAGUAAUACAACAAACCAGACUAAAAUGUGUUAAUCCUGUAUUCCUUGGCAUCUAACAGCAGUUUGUGCUGGGUGAAUCAAGAGUGAGGAAUUAUGGUAGCUGCUCCUUCUUGUAAAACAGACAUCUAAUAUUGCAGAAGCUCUUAAAUUACCUGUGAGACUGAAAUUGCCAUUCUUCCUUCUGAAUAAUAAAUAUAGUGCUCUCUUCAUAUUAUUG
This is a long non-coding RNA of Passer montanus (Eurasian tree sparrow), 1306 nucleotides long. RefSeq lists it as uncharacterized. The record is from RefSeq and is a predicted model, not a curated record. The transcript has 5 exons. Lineage: Eukaryota; Metazoa; Chordata; Aves; Passeriformes; Passeridae.